Molecule: ribosomal RNA, 664 nt
Filed under: Cryphodera sp. G SAS-2017
Lineage: Eukaryota; Metazoa; Nematoda; Chromadorea; Rhabditida; Heteroderidae
Description: eukaryotic LSU rRNA
Rfam family: Eukaryotic large subunit ribosomal RNA
Source: RNAcentral
AUGAGGUGGAAACGGACAGAGCUGGCGUAUCUUGCCUGUAUUCAGCCAUUGGCUUGUGGGUGACGGAUUGGCGUUCUCCAGAUUGGGACGACGGUCUGACCACUCAUGGUCCAUUGGUGCAUUUGCAGGCUGUGUGCGCCGAGGCGCUCGGGGUAGCUGCAUGAUUUCGGUAUUGAGGCCAGCCCUUCACGGGGCCUGGAACCCGGACCGGGUGAGUGCUGUUUGCUCUGGGUUCGUCAGCGAGCAAUGGAAUCGGGCUCCUGUGGGUGCCGAGCUGGCAGCCGGCGGCGGUCGCGUGCGACACGUGCCGGUGGUUAGUUCGGUCCUGUUUGGGCUCACACGUGCUCGUCCUCGGUGUAAAAGCUGGUCAUCUGUCCGACCCGUCUUGAAACACGGACCAAGGAGUUUAGCGUGUGCGCGAGUCAUUGGGUGUUGAAAACCUAAGGGCGCAAUGAAAGUGAAGGUCUCCCUUGUGGAGCUGAUGUGCGAUCCUGGUGCACUCCGGUGCCUGGGCGCAGCAUAGUCCCGUUCUGACCGCUUGCGGUGGGGCGGAGACAGAGCGUAUGCGCUGAGACCCGAAAGAUGGUGAACUAUUCCUGAGCAGGAUGAAGCCAGAGGAAACUCUGGUGGAAGUCCGAAGCGAUUCUGACGUGCAAAUCGAUCG